GCCACGGAGCCAGAAUCCGGCGACUGGCAGCAGGUGCGCGUUCCCGCCUGCCGCCUUCAUGGUCGCGCGUCUCCUGCAGCCCUCGCCCUUCCCCCGACCCCAUCCCCGCCACCGUCAGCUCCCCGGCCCGUGGCAGGCCCCUGAGGGUCCCUCUUUCUGGGGCGACAGAGGUGAUUCCGGGGUGGCGGUGUCAGGUUGUGCGAAGGAGCCCUCGGCUGGUCCGCGAUGGAAUUUCUGGCCCGGUUGGGGGAGACCCCGGUGACCUGCCGCAGCGCUCCUUGUCAACCGGGGAGACCACGCCCGCGUCGGUCGUCCGGGCUCCGAUGCAGACGUCGGAGCGGUGCCCCGCAUCCCCGCCGCUCCCCGCAAUCUGAAAGCGUCUCUGGUUCGGGUCAGGCUAGGAGCUCGCCCAACCUUCUUUCCCGCCCUUGUCAAAAACGACAAAGGGCUGGGGUGUGGGUGCUGGCUGGUGCUAGCUGGUCCCGAGCGCCCGGGGCUGAGCGGGCAGCGGACGGCCACUCCCGCACCCCGACGGCUCCGCAGAGGCGCUUAGGGGCCAAGCGGGCCGGGGUCCCUCGCUCGCUGCAGCCGCGCCAGCGCGCCCUCGGCCAGGAGGAGGAUGAGGAAGACCCGGGGAGUAGAUCGCCAGACGGACUUUUGGAUACGAUGGAACCCACCCUCAUUUGACUCAGGACCUUGAAGCCAGAGAACUGUUUCUGUUUCUUCUGAUUGCCCUCAGAGAGAGGAAACCACACAUGCAGAAACACCCAUUGCGACUAUUCCCCGAAGGUAUGAAAGUGGACAUACAACUCGAUGACCUCUGGCAAACUAAGCACACACAAACAACCAGCUCCCCGAUGGAGGAACAGGACCUGUCAACGCCUCCCCUCAACAACCCCAUGCUCUAAGGAUCACCAGCCCCAGGGUGACUGUAUCCUGGCUUCUGACAGCGUGUAUUUGUUUGGCCUGUUUUCAUCUGUCCUUGAAUCUUGAUGGUGAUCAUGUAUUGGAUUAAAAUGAGAUUUAGUGAAUAGGCAUUUGGUGCCACAUCCCCUCUUGAAUGCCUGGGUUUGAGUCUUAGCUCCGAUUCCCAUCCCAGUUUCCUGCUUGUGCACAGCCUGGGAGGUAGCAGGUGUUGGCUUAAGUACUUGUGUCCCUUCACCCACAUGAGAGUUCUGCACUGGGUUCCAGGCUUCUGGCUUCAGCCUUGCCAGCCCCUGCUAUUGCAGAUAUUUUAGGCACGGACCAACAGAUGGGAGCUGUCUGUCUCUCUGCCUUUCAAAUAAUGAAAAAUAAAUAAAAACUUGGGAAAAUGGAAUAAUCAACACGAUGUUACCAAAAUACAUGCAUGUGCAGUGGUCAUCAUUUGGCGUCAAUAUAUAUGGAUCUAGCUCAAAAUUCAGUAACUCAUACAGAUAGCAUCAUAAUUUAUCUGACUGGUCCCUUUUGAUGGACAUUCGUGUUGUUUCCAGUUUUUGGCUAAUAAGCAGCACUACACGGAACAUGUUAAUGCAUAUUUCUUUAUGAAUAUAAUUUUAAGAUGUAUUUAUUCACUUGAAAGGCAUAGUUAUGGACAGAGAGAGGGUGAGACAGAGGGAGAGAGGGGUCUUCCAUCUGCUGAUUCACUCCCCAAAUGGCCACAAUGGCUGGAGCUGAUCUGAUCUGAAGCCAGGAGCCAGGAGCCAGGAGCCAGGAGCCAGGAGCCAGGAGCUUCCUCUGGGUCUCCCAUGUGAAUGCAGGGGCCCAAUCAUUUGGUCCAUCUUCUAUUGCCUUACCAGACCAUAGCAGACAGCUGGAUCGCAAGUGGAGCAGCUGGGACUCCAACUGGCACCAAUAUGGGAUGCUGGGACCGCACACAGAUUCUUAACUUACUAUGCCAGAGCGCUGGCUCCAUGAAUAUAAUUUUUUGAUGUGCUCCUUUAGCAUAAAUGCUUGAGUGGAAUUGCUAGUUAAUAUCUAAAUUAAAGUAUGCAUAUAUCUAAAUCAAAUUAUA
Oryctolagus cuniculus (rabbit) is the source of this 1993-nucleotide long non-coding RNA. RefSeq lists it as uncharacterized. The record is from RefSeq and is a predicted model, not a curated record. Lineage: Eukaryota; Metazoa; Chordata; Mammalia; Lagomorpha; Leporidae.